UAAAGACCUUUUUAUUUGCACUACUCUUUGGCACUACUCUUUUUAGUUAGUUGUACUCUCUCUUAUAUAAGUAGGGACCUUAAUCUGUAGAGUUGUUAGUUAUUUGCAAAAAUUGAUUCUUGUAACUGUGACUUUCUCCAUCAAAUAAUUAGCUUUACAUAUUUGAUUGAUCCAUAUUUUCAGAUUUGAGAAGGCUGUAAAAGAGGAUAUAACGCACUACCUUGUUACAUCUGCUCUAAAACUUUCAGCUUAUGGAAAGCUGUGGUGGCGCAGCACAGUUAGAGGGGAUACAAUUCCAAGUUGGUUAUUGUUUUUGUUUUGUGCA
Long non-coding RNA from Daucus carota subsp. sativus, 325 nucleotides. RefSeq lists it as uncharacterized. The record is from RefSeq and is a predicted model, not a curated record. The transcript is spliced from 2 exons. Lineage: Eukaryota; Viridiplantae; Streptophyta; Magnoliopsida; Apiales; Apiaceae.